This 76-nucleotide transfer RNA is filed under the name Chloroflexota bacterium. Its description in RNAcentral is "Chloroflexi bacterium tRNA-Thr". It matches the Rfam family "tRNA". Rfam says of the family: Transfer RNA (tRNA) molecules are approximately 80 nucleotides in length. RNAcentral also lists the same sequence under 1 other name. Lineage: Bacteria; Bacillati; Chloroflexota. The record is from RNAcentral.
GCCCGAGUGGCGCAAGGGUAGCGCAGCCGAUUUGUAAUCGGCAGGUUAGCGGGUUCGAAUCCCCUCUCGGGCUCCA